GCACAACCCUGAGCACAACUGUCUUCAUCUGAACUUUAGUGGAUGAGAUGCUGGGAAAUGCAAGGGAAGGCAGAAUUCUUCCUCCUCCAUCUACCAAAAGAGGAGAAGAGCUACCUGGGAGAGUGAUGAAGUGAGAAAUUGCUGACAGAGUGAAUUUCUUUCCACACUGAAUAAGAAGGUUGUACUGUAACAUGGACCAUGAUGUUAUUUUGCUUUCUUGGUGUGGCGAUUGCACACACAAAUUCUGCCAGACCACCCAUCUGGGUGGGUGUGUACAGCUACAAGAACUACCUUCACACAUACAUUGCAGAGAGAAGCUGCUACUGACGGCUGAAGAAAAGGUUGUUCCCAGGUGCCUGUUUGCUGUGUUGAGUGGAAGUGCACCAGAGGGAUUGCUGACAAUCAUUACUCCUGGUGGAAUAAAGCCUGCUCUAGUGCCGUGGGCUCGUUUGGACUGAGGAUCUGCUCAGAGGGAGCUGCUGAAAACAAGAGCCAUAAGCCUUACGCCCACGGUAUGCAAGAAUGUUUUUCAUGUACUGCCAUCUGCUGUCGCAGCGUACCCAUUUCAUCACUACACUGUUCUCCUGGGGUUUUCAUUCCAGAAGCAAGCACAUCCCUUCCAAGAAGUCUGUUAAAAAUGCAGUUAAGUUGGAAGAACUGCUUUAAUUCAUACGUGCUCUGCCUGAUACAGCAUGCAAUGAGAUUCUAAAAAUUCUGCUUUCAGUUGUGGCAAUAGCCAAAGGAGUGUUAUUUUUUCUCCCAUUUAACUUAUUCACUAGUAAGUUUGUAUCUUUAGUCAGACCAUAGCCAGAGCAUUCGUAUUCUAAAUCAGCAGUAAAUUUACAGCAAAACAUACACACACGUAUCACAAGCUUCACAUAUAUUUAUACACACUGAAAUUAUAAAAGAUCAUGCAAGUGCAUAAAUACAUUUACAUGUACUGCUGUACUUAUUCAGACUGCUGGUUCAGAAUACAUGUUAUGGUUUGCAUAUAUAUAAGCUACGGAUUUGCAUCCAAAAUCUGAUCAGUUAGCACCUUGUUCCCUACAUGUGUAUUAUAAAAAAAUAGAACGUAGUGUUUCAGAAGCUGGUAGGAAAAUAAAAGACUUUGUGUGUAAUUGAAUAAGGGGUGA
This 1133-nucleotide long non-coding RNA is filed under the name Calidris pygmaea (Spoon-billed sandpiper). RNAcentral's name for it is "lncRNA (ENSCPGG00000013454.1)". Lineage: Eukaryota; Metazoa; Chordata; Aves; Charadriiformes; Scolopacidae. The record is from RNAcentral.